This 505-nucleotide ribosomal RNA is filed under the name uncultured bacterium. Its description in RNAcentral is "partial 16S ribosomal RNA". It matches the Rfam family "Bacterial small subunit ribosomal RNA", at positions 28 to 507 of the family's 1533-position model. The record is from RNAcentral.
GACGAACGCUGGCGGCGUGCCUAAUACAUGCAAGUAGAACGCACAGUUUAUACCGUAGCUUGCUACACCAUAGACUGUGAGUUGCGAACGGGUGAGUAACGCGUAGGUAACCUGCCUGGUAGCGGGGGAUAACUAUUGGAAACGAUAGCUAAUACCGCAUAAUAUUAAUUAUUGCAUGAUAAUUAAUUGAAAGGUGCAAUUGCACCACUACCAGAUGGACCUGCGUUGUAUUAGCUAGUAGGUGAGGUAACGGCUCACCUAGGCGACGAUACAUAGCCGACCUGAGAGGGUGAUCGGCCCAACUGGGACUGAGACACGGCCCAGACUCCUACGGGAGGCAGCAGUAGGGAAUCUUCGGCAAUGGACGAAAGUCUGACCGAGCAACGCCGCGUGAGUGAAGAAGGUUUUCGGAUCGUAAAGCUCUGUUGUAAGGGAAGAAAGGGCGUGAGAGUGGAAAGUUCACACUGUGACGGUAUCUUACCAGAAAGGGACGGCUAACUACGUG